Molecule: unclassified non-coding RNA, 205 nt
Filed under: Hevea brasiliensis (rubber tree)
Lineage: Eukaryota; Viridiplantae; Streptophyta; Magnoliopsida; Malpighiales; Euphorbiaceae
Source: RNAcentral
AAUCAGUUCUCUGACCGCUGAACGCCUUGAACCUGGCAGUACACUUGAUUUCAUCGUCCCAAUCGGGAACUUGUUUCCUCAAAUACUCCAUAAUUGACUCCUCCUUAACUCCUGUAACAUCCUUCUCCAUUUCCUGGAUUUUGCCCAUCAGAAUUAAACCCUAAUCGAAAACCUCCUACUAUAAUCUAAACACUUAGUGUUCAAA